AACGUGACGUUGCGUGGCAAGCUAAGGUGCGAUGCUCCAGCCGCCAUGUGCCAAAAUGCAACACUGAUGAAAAGGGAGCUGUACGUUGCUCUAUGGUGGCUUGGCAGCAGAAAAUUUCAGGAUACUUGCUCCUUCAGGCCAGUCUUCUAUCAAUGGAUGCUGCCUUGUUGGCUGAAGCUUGUGCCGCCACGCCAAGACCAGCCUUACUUGAUGCGAGGCUGAUCCCUUCCAUCUUCGGCGCCAGGAAUGCUCUCAU
This 256-nucleotide long non-coding RNA is filed under the name Dermacentor andersoni. Its description in RNAcentral is "uncharacterized LOC126544173". The record is from RNAcentral. Lineage: Eukaryota; Metazoa; Arthropoda; Arachnida; Ixodida; Ixodidae.